Molecule: ribosomal RNA, 237 nt
Filed under: uncultured bacterium
Lineage: Bacteria
Description: partial 16S ribosomal RNA
Rfam family: Bacterial small subunit ribosomal RNA
Source: RNAcentral
CGGCGGACGGGUGAGUAACGCGUGGGUAACCUGCCUCAUACAGGGGGAUAACAGUUGGAAACGGCUGCUAAUACCGCAUAAGCGCACAGUACCGCAUGGUACGUGUGAAAAACUCCGGUGGUAUGAGAUGGACUCGCGUCUGAUUAGCUAGUUGGUGGGGUAACGGCCUACCAAGGCGACGAUCAGUAGCCGGCCUGAGAGGGUGAACGGCCACAUUGGGACUGAGACACGGCCCAA